CCUACGGGAGGCAGCAGUGGGGAAUAUUGCACAAUGGGGGAAACCCUGAUGCAGCGACGCCGCGUGAGUGAAGAAGUAAUUCGGUAUGUAAAGCCCUGUCAGCAGGGAAGAAAAUGACGGUACCUGACCAAGAAGCCCCGGCUAACUACGUGCCAGCAGCCGCGGUAAUACGUAGGGGGCAAGCGUUAUCCGGAUUUACUGGGUGUAAAGGGAGCGUAGACGGCAAGGCAAGUCUGGAGUGAAAGCCCGUGGCUCAACCACGGGACUGCUUUGGAAACUGUGUUGCUGGAGUGCAGGAGGGGUAAGCGGAAUUCCUAGUGUAGCGGUGAAAUGCGUAGAUAUUAGGAGGAACACCGGUGGCGAAGGCGGCUUACUGGACUGUAACUGACGUUGAGGCUCGAAGGCGUGGGGAGCAAACAGGAUUAGAUACCCCAGUAGUC
Molecule: ribosomal RNA, 440 nt
Filed under: uncultured bacterium
Lineage: Bacteria
Description: partial 16S ribosomal RNA
Rfam family: Bacterial small subunit ribosomal RNA
Source: RNAcentral